AACGAACGCUGGCGGCAUGCCUAACACAUGCAAGUCGAACGAGACCUUCGGGUCUAGUGGCGCACGGGUGCGUAACGCGUGGGAAUCUGCCCUCUGGUACGGAAUAACUCAGGGAAACUUGAGCUAAUACCGUAUAAUGACUUCGGUCCAAAGAUUUAUCGCCUGAGGAUGAGCCCGCGUCGGAUUAGCUAGUUGGUGAGGUAAAGGCUCACCAAGGCGACGAUCCGUAGCUGGUCUGGGAGGAUGAUCAGCCACACUGGGACUGAGACACGGCCCAGACUCCUACGGGAGGCAGCAGUGGGGAAUAUUGGACAAUGGGCGAAAGCCUGAUCCAGCAAUGCCGCGUGGGUGAUGAAGGCCUUAGGGUUGUAAAGCUCUUUUACCCGGGAUGAUAAUGACAGUACCGGGAGAAUAAGCCCCGGCUAACUCCGUGCCAGCCGCCGCAGUAA
This 449-nucleotide ribosomal RNA is filed under the name uncultured bacterium. RNAcentral's name for it is "partial 16S ribosomal RNA". It matches the Rfam family "Bacterial small subunit ribosomal RNA", at positions 29 to 523 of the family's 1533-position model. The record is from RNAcentral.